RNAcentral lists this ribosomal RNA (402 nucleotides) under bacterium. Its description in RNAcentral is "partial 16S ribosomal RNA". It matches the Rfam family "Bacterial small subunit ribosomal RNA", at positions 355 to 776 of the family's 1533-position model. The record is from RNAcentral.
UGGGGAAUUUUGCACAAUGGGGGAAACCCUGAUGCAGCGACGCCGCGUGAUUUAGAAGGCCUUCGGGUUGUAAAAAUCUUUUCUAUGGGAAGAAAAUGACAGUACCAUAGGAAUAAGGACCGGCUAAUUACGUGCCAGCAGCCGCGGUAAUACGUAAGGUCCGAGCGUUGUCCGGAAUCAUUGGGCGUAAAGGGUACGUAGGCGGGUAAGCAAGUUAGAAGUGAAAUCCUAUAGCUCAACUAUAGUAAGCUUUUAAAACUGCUCAUCUUGAGGUAUGGAAGGGAAAGUGGAAUUCCUAGUGUAGCGGUGAAAUGCGCAGAUAAUAGGAGGAAUACCGGUGGCGAAGGCGACUUUCUGGCCAUAACCUGACGCUGAGGUACGAAAGCGUGGGUAGCAAACAGG